RNAcentral lists this ribosomal RNA (253 nucleotides) under uncultured bacterium. Its description in RNAcentral is "partial 16S ribosomal RNA". It matches the Rfam family "Bacterial small subunit ribosomal RNA", at positions 524 to 776 of the family's 1533-position model. The record is from RNAcentral.
GACAGAGGUCCCAAGCGUUGUUCGGAUUCAUUGGGCGUAAAGGGUGCGUAGGCGGCGCGGUAAGUCGGGUGUGAAAUCUCGGGGCUUAACUCCGAAACUGCAUUCGAUACUGCCGUGCUUGAGGACUGGAGAGGAGACUGGAAUUUACGGUGUAGCGGUGAAAUGCGUAGAUAUCGUAAGGAAGACCAGUGGCGAAGGCGGGUCUCUGGACAGUUCCUGACGCUGAGGCACGAAGGCCAGGGGAGCAAACGGG